Molecule: non-coding RNA, 27 nt
Filed under: Mus musculus (house mouse)
Lineage: Eukaryota; Metazoa; Chordata; Mammalia; Rodentia; Muridae
Source: RNAcentral
UGCUGAUGGAAGUCUUCGGUACACUGU